Molecule: long non-coding RNA, 467 nt
Filed under: Androctonus crassicauda
Lineage: Eukaryota; Metazoa; Arthropoda; Arachnida; Scorpiones; Buthidae
Source: RNAcentral
AAGAUAAUACAAAUAUAGACAGUCCCUGAUGCACAUAGAUCCAUACUUGCAUAGCAGUUCCUUCAUUUACAAGAUCUAUUGAUCAAAGCUGUAGCAUUUGAUAUUAGGUUUCAGUUAAGCUGCCAUAUAACACAGGAUAUUAGGUUUUAGUUAAGCUGCCAUAUAACACAGGAUAUGUUGUAUCUGACCACUUUAGAGUUCAUUACAGAUUGGUUGAUAUCCACGAUAGGAUCAAUCAGAAAGUUGAAAAAUGAGAUUCAACAGGCCAAGUCUGGAUUCUUGAAAAAUUGGAGGUAUGGAACUCAAAAUUUUGCCACUCUGUGGUUGUAUUGUGUGACUCAAAUAUUUUUGUUGUUACAUCUUUGUGAAUAUCUUGGAGAAUACCGUUAUCGUUGUUUCAACCGUCCUGAUGUUACUCUGCCAGGAAUCUUAUCGGAUGCAUCUGAUGUGUCAGCGAUCAUUUUAUA